This 76-nucleotide transfer RNA is filed under the name Bacteroidota bacterium. RNAcentral describes it as "Bacteroidetes bacterium tRNA-Trp". It matches the Rfam family "tRNA". Rfam says of the family: Transfer RNA (tRNA) molecules are approximately 80 nucleotides in length. Their secondary structure includes four short double-helical elements and three loops (D, anti-codon, and T loops). Lineage: Bacteria; Pseudomonadati; Bacteroidota. The record is from RNAcentral.
ACGGGUGUAGCUCAAUUGGUAGAGCAACGGUCUCCAAAACCGUAGGUUGCGGGUUCAAGUCCUGCCACCCGUGCGA